RNAcentral lists this long non-coding RNA (403 nucleotides) under Ictidomys tridecemlineatus (thirteen-lined ground squirrel). RNAcentral's name for it is "lncRNA (ENSSTOG00000029662.1)". The record is from RNAcentral. Lineage: Eukaryota; Metazoa; Chordata; Mammalia; Rodentia; Sciuridae.
AUAUCUGCACAGAGCGAAGGUGCUGGAACAAGGCCUUCCUGCUUGUGAUUGAGAGAGACGCUGUCCAACUCCAGAUCCCCACACUGGCUCUGACACAUGCUGCAAAUAAGGCGGCUUCUGAGGGACUGUCCAUUUCUUAUUUUACCUCAUUUGGUUAAACCACACAAGCUCCGAGCUUGGAACUUCCGUUUUCUUAUCUCGAACAUCGCGUACUGUUCCAGCCCACAGCCAGCCACCCAGGAAGGAAGCAUUUUGUUCCUUUUGGACAGACAGCCUGGCUGGCCAUAUGGCCACGCGAUUGAAAGCUCUGGUUCCAUGUGACAAGAUAACUGCCAAGAACUCCUGCCUCUUGUCCUUUUCUAUUGGAGCUCUGGUGAAAAAGGAGAGAAUUUUAUUCUUCUCU